RNAcentral lists this non-coding RNA (206 nucleotides) under Secundilactobacillus odoratitofui. RNAcentral's name for it is "Lactobacillus odoratitofui T-box sequence". It matches the Rfam family "T-box leader". From Rfam's summary of the family: Uncharged tRNA acts as the effector for transcription antitermination of genes in the T-box leader family. T-boxes are found upstream of many aminoacyl-tRNA synthetase genes and some amino acid biosynthetic genes usually in Gram-positive bacteria. The anticodon of a specific tRNA base pairs to a specifier sequence within the T-box motif, and the NCCA acceptor tail of the tRNA base pairs to a conserved bulge in the T-box antiterminator hairpin. Lineage: Bacteria; Bacillati; Bacillota; Bacilli; Lactobacillales; Lactobacillaceae. The record is from RNAcentral.
UUAAAGACUGAUGAGGACUAUUAGGUUUAGUGAGCUGUUCAGAAAGCGGAUGGUUGUUGUGAAUUCGCCAGUUUAUUAACCGAACUCGUCUCGGAGUUAUUUCAACUGAACUGAAGUAAGUUGAAACGUGAUUUUCACGUUACGAAAUAUUGAGCGCCCGUGCAAUCGGGAAUGUUAGGUGGUACCGCGGAAAUUCCGUCCUACAA